Ostrinia nubilalis (European corn borer) is the source of this 1745-nucleotide long non-coding RNA. RefSeq lists it as uncharacterized. The record is from RefSeq and is a predicted model, not a curated record. The transcript is spliced from 2 exons. Lineage: Eukaryota; Metazoa; Arthropoda; Insecta; Lepidoptera; Crambidae.
UAUUAUUCGGCAUGUGACGAUGCACAGCAUCUGGUGAGAGAGAUGCGUCUACUUCCGGUGUAGUUUUUUACCAUUUUAUACCUUAAAUGACGUCAUUUCCGCAAUUAUUUAAUAGGAAUUGAUUUGACUUACUUCCGUUUGCCGCCAUUUUAGUCACCUGGGGGCGAGCUUGCUCGGAGUUCUUCAUAGCGUCUUUAACUUCCAAACUAGCAACAUCGUAAGCAGAAACGCUGCUCAGAUUUUUACUGAAAUAAUUUAUUUCUCAACGUUCUUAUACUAAGUUUAAAAUUAAAAAGUGCAAUUGACCGCGCGUGUGUGACCGCGAACGACAUGUACGUGAUGGUGGUUGGCGCCAAAGGGGACGAGUGUCUUCCGGACGACGAGCAGGUGGACCCAGAGCGUCGGAUACCGGAGAAACUCGGACCCCGGCGAGAUUCAAAACGGAUGAAACGAGGUACGUGGGAUUCUGAUAGCUUUAACACUCUUUUCGAUCAAAUGAGCAUUCUCGCGAAUCUCUAUAUUGUAUAAAUAGAUUGAAUAACGUACCCACAACCAUCUUAUACAAUUUUAACGGCGGCCCCGUCAGCCCCAAUCGCAAACAUUAGAUACCAAUCAAAAUACGUUGUUAGCAUCACCACAAUCGAACGAUAACUCUUUCUGGUACGAGUUUCUUAAUAAAUACCCAUUUAAAAAGGCUCAUUGUGCUCAUAAAAUAAAGCACCUACAAAUGCUUUACCACAUCAACAAAGCACUUUAAACUACAACUAUUAGUAGACUGGGUGGUCACCCCCAACACUGAGCCAGCUUACAGCUUGAAUUAUUAAAUUCUAAUGUUUUUUGCAAAUCAAGAAGCUUAAUAAGUAUGACAAAAUGUGCUAAGUACAUCGAACAUGUAUACUUCUAUUUUGCAACAACAUAUAAAUUGUAAUCUGAAGCGUAUCCUGGCUAAAAUUCCUAAUAAGCAUUGUGCGAGGAGCACCCUCCCAGUGCUGGAUUUUUGUUCGGCAAAAUCACCCUGUGCUCGUACUGGUGAUAUCUAAAAAAUAAUCCGACCUUGGUUCUCUAGCCGGUCACUUCAAGCAAAAUCAAAACAUAAUAAUAUCUUUAUUUGCUUAGACUGAUUAAAUUAGUUCUUACAAAUCGUCAAAUACUAAUAAAACAAAAAGCCAAGGAUUCCAAAUCAGUCCCUCCAAGCCGAUGCUUGCCCCUGCAACGCCGUGCUUUAUUCAGCGUCUUAACACUCUUGACUGUCUAGCGCUGACCAAAUAAGAAUAGCAAAGUCAAGUGACUUUCCACUCAGCAAAUUCUACGGAGGCUGCCUUUGAGCGUAUCUUAGGCAGUGGUAGGCGUCAUCAGACUGCGGAGGUCAACCUGUUACCUGACAAUGGUUCCAGGGAUGCGUCUGCUAUUCACCUCCAAGCCGGUGCUUGCCCCUGCACCUGCAACGCCGUGCUUUAUUCAGCGUCUCAACACUCUUGACUGUCUAGCGCUGAUCAAAUAAGAAUAGCAAAGUCAAGUGACUUUCCACUCAGCAAAUUCUACGGAGGCUGCCUUUGAGCGUAUCUUAGGCAGUGGCAGGCGUCAUCAGACUGCGGAGGUCAACCUGUUACCUGACAAUGGUUCCAGGGAUGCGUCUGCCAUUCACCUCCAAGCCGGUGCUUGUCCCUUCAACGCCGUGCUUUAUUCAGCGUUUUAACACUCUUGACUGUCUAACGCUGACCAAAUAAACCGAAAUCCUGUUAAAA